UUGUGAUGUAACCCUGUUCCAUGUUUGUGUGUGAUACUACUUAGUUUCUUUUGUAUGUUGAAUCCAGAACUUAGUCAGUUAGUGUUGCCUAGGUUGUAGGAUAGUCAGCUAGGAAAGGAUUAUAGGCUGUUAUUGAAAUAAGCCUACUUUUAGCCUAAAUAACCUUGUAUGUGUGAAUGAGUAUCCUUUGAUCUUUAUUUUUAUGAGCCUGUAUAGCUUGUUUUUCUUGUUACACCUUUCAC
RNAcentral lists this long non-coding RNA (242 nucleotides) under Capsicum annuum. RNAcentral's name for it is "long non-coding RNA (CANN_LNC011454)". Lineage: Eukaryota; Viridiplantae; Streptophyta; Magnoliopsida; Solanales; Solanaceae. The record is from RNAcentral.